ACUGUAUAGUGUUUAAUAAAUGUGAAUAUGGAAAUUUUGUUGCUGUAUCUUUUUUGCUCUAGUGGUAUGAAAGUGAAAAAAAACAAAUAGAUAUACUUGAUGGCAGGCGUGAGAAGCGCAGAGAAGGGCGGCCAGCUGGCAGUGUGAUGUAUACAGAACAAGUAUUGGGAAAAAGAAGAAGCGAUUCGCUGCAGGCAAUGCUGAGAGAGAGAAGCUGCUAAUGCUUUUAUUGGAUAUCGGAGUGGACGUGAGAAGCGUGGAGAGAAGCACCAGGCAAUGGUGUAAUGAGGUUUUAAACGAGAACUGAAGAGAGAAGCAUACAGCAAAAAUAAGACUACAAACGACUGCAGACUGUGCUGCUGUUACCAGUUGCUGACCCAAAUGUGAAAAGCGCUGUUGCAUCUUGAAGGGCUAAGAAAAAAUGUGCAGAUAGUUGAAGAAUCCAGCCCAACUACCUGGAUACCACAACAGGAGCACACCUCGACAAGCGGCCAAAACCCAACGGUUGGGAGGAACACAUGACAUUUGCCAAGCGCCACAAUUUGGGCAUUUUGAUCGCUUGCCUCGUCGAGCACAUGUGGCAAUGAGUGCAGCAUUUUGAGGGCCAACCAUACGAUUCUCUCAAUGUUCAGAUGGUUCUGCAGAUUGCACACACUGGCGUCGCCGCUGCAGUUCGACGACGCUAUGGCCGAUCGGGCGAUGCAGGAGGAGUCUGAAGGAUUGAAUGGUGCUGCUUUAACUGGAUGGAUUCAAUCUGACGUGUAGGUGUGCGGAAACGGAAAUGCUGUGCCUCGACUGCUGCUCGUCUGUCCAGACCGACACGUCCUAUGACUGGAAUGUUGCAGGCUGCUUACCGAACAGCUGCUCCACGACACUAUCUACAGGUCUGGUACGACCUGACCAGUUCUCCAGUAGAGUGGCAAGACCCGAUACAAAAUACUGUUUAGUCUGUUUAAAUUGCAUUCCAAUAAAAUUCAAUGCAGCAUCAAAUGCA
RNAcentral lists this small RNA (994 nucleotides) under Drosophila virilis. RNAcentral describes it as "GJ26476". The record is from RNAcentral. Lineage: Eukaryota; Metazoa; Arthropoda; Insecta; Diptera; Drosophilidae.